RNAcentral lists this ribosomal RNA (301 nucleotides) under uncultured bacterium. RNAcentral's name for it is "partial 16S ribosomal RNA". It matches the Rfam family "Bacterial small subunit ribosomal RNA", at positions 509 to 807 of the family's 1533-position model. The record is from RNAcentral.
CAGUAGCCGCGGUAAUACGAAGGGUGCAAGCGUUACUCGGAAUUACUGGGCGUAAAGCGUGCGUAGGUGGUGGUUUAAGUCCGUUGUGAAAGCCCUGGGCUCAACCUGGGAAUUGCGGUGGAUACUGGGUCACUAGAGUGUGGUAGAGGAUAGUGGAAUUUCCGGUGUAGCAGUGAAAUGCGUAGAGAUCGGAAGGAACAUCUGUGGCGAAGGCGACUAUCUGGGCCAACACUGACACUGAGGCACGAAAGCGUGGGGAGCAAACAGGAUUAGAUACCCCUGUAGUCCCUGUCUCUUAUAC